AUGGGCCCAUCCAGAGAGCCCUUUAGAAGCCGGAGCUCUCGCUUCUUUAAGAAGGGUUUCCAGAUGAUGCCUCAGGUAAAUGUGAAUAGUUUUCACACAAAGGAGGAAAACUUUAAAAAUAAAAGAACUCACCAGGCCUCAAUUUUUUUUUUUCGGUGGCCCUCUUCUGCAUUUCGGUGGCCCUCUUCUGCACUUCUGCAUUUUUUAAAUGCAAUAGAUCUGGAACCACCCUAUGCCAGUUAGUGCUGCUUAGGAGUUGAAGGCUAUAAGUAUCUGAAAGCCACAUGGUUUUCAUCUGCAAAUUAGAUCGGAGUCUAUGCACAUAGGAAGCAAAAAUAAUAAAUGAAAAUGAAAUAAAACUGAAAUCUAAAACGAUUGGAAGGAUUUACUAGAAAAAUAUCUUUAAAGAAGUAGUAGCAAUAAUGUACACACAAAGAAAAACUAAAUGUAAAGAAAAAACUGAAAUAAAUGGAACAGGAAUUUAAUUUAAAAUAAAGUACUUUUCUACUUAUUCAUAAUUCUUGAUGAUAAAGAUGGGGGUUAAUGAAGGUGCAUAUAAGAAAUGGAAAAGUAAAAGAAUAUGAAACAACAAAUGAUAAAAAGAUUGCACACGGCAGGCUGAUAGCUAGGAUAUAAAUUGGUUUUAAGCAAAGGAUAAAGAAAAUAUUCUAAUUGAAUUAGUACCUGGAAAAGUGAAAAAAUUAAAUAUUAAAGUCAAUUAAAGCAAGCAACAUCCACACUAGAUGCCCCAUACAAACAUACACACAUUGAACAUAGCUACAAGGAAUAAUGAAGAUCCAGAAUCAGGAGACAGAAUGCCACUGGCAGAGCACAGCGUCCAGAAAGCAUCUGGUCAAAAGUAGCCUAAACUUAAAAGGUGGACCCACCAAUCACUCACCUGCAUUCUCAUCUAGCACCCAACAUUUUUAGGAAAUAAAAUUAUAACAGGCGGUUUUCUAUAUAUGCUGGCAUGAAGCUAAAAGACAACAGAAGCUACACCUGUGAUCGUACUUCUAGGUACUUUAGAGAGAAGUCUGCUUCAUGCCAGGCAUCAUCAGAGUUCAUCCUUAGCAUUCCAGCUUUACUUGAGAUUUGAUCCAUCUGAUUCACAUCUCUAAUCAUGACUUUUAAAAUCUGCCAGUAGAUUGGAUUGAAAGAGGAUAUGCUACAUAAUUUAAAUAUAUGAAGGGUUGUCAUAUAGAGUGAGCUUAUUUACUUUUUUUCUCCUCCAGAGGGACUCGACCAAUGGAUUCAUUGGUUGAGAUGUUGACAAGCUGGAAUGUG
This 1284-nucleotide long non-coding RNA is filed under the name Anolis carolinensis (green anole). RNAcentral describes it as "lncRNA (ENSACAG00000035075.1)". Lineage: Eukaryota; Metazoa; Chordata; Lepidosauria; Squamata; Anolidae. The record is from RNAcentral.